AUUCCUACGGGAGGCAGCAGUGGGGAAUAUUGCACAAUGGAGGAAACUCUGAUGCAGCAACGCCGCGUGGAGGAUGACGCAUUUCGGUGUGUAAACUCCUUUUAUAGGGGAAGAUAAUGACGGUACCCUAUGAAUAAGCACCGGCUAACUCCGUGCCAGCAGCCGCGGUAAUACGGAGGGUGCAGGCGUUACUCGGAAUCACUGGGCGUAAAGGAUGCGUAGGCUGGAAAUCAAGUCGAAAGUGAAAUCCAACGGCUCAACCGUUGAACUGCUUUCGAAACUGGUUACCUAGAAUAUGGGAGAGGUAGAUGGAAUUAGUGGUGUAGGGGUAAAAUCCGUAGAUAUCACUAGGAAUACCGAUUGCGAAGGCGAUCUACUGGAACAUUAUUGACGCUGAGGCAUGAAAGCGUGGGGAGCAAACAGGAUUAGAUACCCUGGUAGUCCACGCCCUAAACGAUGCACACUAGUUGUUGCGAUGCUAGUCAUUGCAGUAAUGCACUUAACAGAUUAAGUGUGCCGCCUGGGGAGUACGGUCGCAAGAUUAAAACUCAAAGGAAUAGACGGGGACCCGCACAAGCGGUGGAGCAUGUGGUUUAAUUCGAAGAUACACGAAGAACCUUACCUGGGCUUGAUAUCCUAAGAAUCCUGUAGAGAUACGGGAGUGCUAGUUUACUAGAACUUAGAGACAGGUACUGCACGGCUGUCGUCAGCUCGUGUCGUGAGAUGUUGGGUUAAGUCCCGCAACGAGCGCAACCCUCGUGAUUAGUUGCUAACAGUUCGGCUGAGCACUCUAAUCAGACUGCCUUCGUAAGGAGGAGGAAGGUGAGGACGACGUCAAGUCAUCAUGGCCCUUAUGCCCAGGGCUACACACGUGCUACAAUGGCUAGGACAAAGAGACGCGAUACUGCGAAGUGGAGCAAAUCUUAAAACCUAGUCUCAGUUCGGAUUGGAGUCUGCAACUCGACUCCAUGAAGCUGGAAUCGCUAGUAAUCGUAGAUCAGAUAUGCUACGGUGAAUACGUUCCCGGGCCUUGUACACACCGCC
This 1044-nucleotide ribosomal RNA is filed under the name uncultured Sulfurospirillum sp. RNAcentral's name for it is "bacterial SSU rRNA". It matches the Rfam family "Bacterial small subunit ribosomal RNA", at positions 335 to 1394 of the family's 1533-position model. The record is from RNAcentral. Lineage: Bacteria; Pseudomonadati; Campylobacterota; Epsilonproteobacteria; Campylobacterales; Sulfurospirillaceae.